AUUGAACGCUGGCGGCAUGCCUUACACAUGCAGGUCGAACGGCAGCACGGGUGCUUGCACCUGGUGGCGAGUGGCGAACGGGUGAGUAAUACAUCGGAACAUGUCCUGUAGUGGGGGAUAGCCCGGCGAAAGCCGGAUUAAUACCGCAUACGAUCUACGGAUGAAAGCGGGGGACCUUCGGGCCUCGCGCUAUAGGGUUGGCCGAUGGAUGAUUAGCUAGUUGGUGGGGUAAAGGCCUACCAAGGCGACGAUCAGUAGCUGGUCUGAGAGGACGACCAGCCACACUGGGACUGAGACACGGCCCAGACUCCUACGGGAGACAGCAGUGGGGAAUUUUGGACAAUGGGCGAAAGCCUGAUCCAGCAAUGCCGCGUGUGUGAAGAAGGCCUUCGGGUUGUAAAGCACUUUUGUCCGGAAAGAAAUCCUUGGCCCUAAUACGGUCGGGGGAUGACGGUACCGGAAGAAUAAGCACCGGCUAACUACGUG
RNAcentral lists this ribosomal RNA (486 nucleotides) under uncultured bacterium. Its description in RNAcentral is "partial 16S ribosomal RNA". It matches the Rfam family "Bacterial small subunit ribosomal RNA", at positions 30 to 507 of the family's 1533-position model. The record is from RNAcentral.